This 608-nucleotide ribosomal RNA is filed under the name Cicindela hybrida. RNAcentral describes it as "partial 16S ribosomal RNA". It matches the Rfam family "Bacterial large subunit ribosomal RNA", at positions 1850 to 2733 of the family's 2925-position model. The record is from RNAcentral. Lineage: Eukaryota; Metazoa; Arthropoda; Insecta; Coleoptera; Carabidae.
AGGUCUAACCUGCCCAAUGAGGAAUUAAAUGGCCGCAGUAUUUUGACUGUGCAAAGGUNGCAUAAUUAUUAGUUUUUUAAUUGAAAGCUUGUAUGAAGGGUUGGACGAGAUAAAAUCUGUCUUUAUUUAAAUUACAAUAGAAUUUAACUUUUAAGUCAAAAGGCUUAAAUGUAUAUAAAAGACGAGAAGACCCUAUAGAUCUUUAUUUAAUUAAUAUUUUGAUAAUUUAAGAUUAUUUUAGUUUAAAGUUUUAAUUAAAUUUUAUUGGGGUAAUAUAGAGAUUAAAUAAAUUCUUUUUAUUUAUUACAUUGAUUUAUGAAUAUAUGAUCCAAUAUUAUUGAUUAUAAGAUUAAGUUACCUUAGGGAUAACAGCGUAAUUUUUUUGGAGAGCUCAUAUCGAUAAAAAAGUUUGCGACCUCGAUGUUGGAUUAAAAAUUAGCUUGGGUGCAGAAGCUCAAGAUUUUGGUCUGUUCGACCAUUAAAUUUUUACAUGAUCUGAGUUCAGACCGGCGUAAGCCAGGUCGGUUUCUAUCUUUAUUUAUCUAAAAUAUUUUAGUACGAAAGGACCAAAUAUUUAAUAUAAUUAUAUUUCUUUUUUGAAUAAUAUU